GAUCCUGGCUCAGGAUGAACGCUGGCGGCGUGCCUAAUACAUGCAAGUCGAACGCGGGCAGCAAUGCCCGAGUGGCGAACGGGUGAGUAAUACAUAAGUAACCUGCCCUUUACAGGGGGAUAACUAUUGGAAACGAUAGCUAAGACCGCAUAGGUAAAGAUACCGCAUGGUAAGUUUAUUAAAAGUGCCAAGGCACUGGUAGAGGAUGGACUUAUGGCGCAUUAGCUAGUUGGUGAGGUAACGG
RNAcentral lists this ribosomal RNA (244 nucleotides) under uncultured bacterium. RNAcentral describes it as "partial 16S ribosomal RNA". It matches the Rfam family "Bacterial small subunit ribosomal RNA", at positions 15 to 263 of the family's 1533-position model. The record is from RNAcentral.